UUUGCAUGAACUAUAAUUUUUGGGUGAUUAACGUGCAUGAACUCUAUAUAUUCCUUUCAGAGUCUUAACAUUUACCCCGAACAAGCUAUGGAUAUAAAAGAAGAAUGUGUUUAAAAGGACGUGUUGAAGACAGCCGAGUCAUUUGGUCGCUGAGUUGGAGUCGGGUCGAAAGAUUGUCGUGAAAGUUGGUUGAUGGUAGAGCUUGAAUACCGCGAGGAAGAAGUUUUGGCCUUCUGAAGAUUCGUUGUAAAUGUUGGGAAUGAGAAUUGGAUUAUCGGAAUAUCGUUCUUUCGCCCAAGAAAUGCGAAGAAAAUACAUCGAAGCAGAUAAGGAUUUAAUAGUUCUUCAAUCAACUUAAAGAUGUUAGAAGACGUCAAGAAAAAAUAAAAAAUUAAAGUGACGAAAAAACGCACCAAAAAAGGGAUACCUUACCUUACCUUACCUUACCUUACCUUACCUUACCU
This is a long non-coding RNA of Xenia sp. Carnegie-2017, 464 nucleotides long. RefSeq lists it as uncharacterized. The record is from RefSeq and is a predicted model, not a curated record. Lineage: Eukaryota; Metazoa; Cnidaria; Anthozoa; Malacalcyonacea; Xeniidae. The transcript is spliced from 3 exons.